GACGAACGCUGGCGGCGUGCUUAACACAUGCAAGUCGAACGGAAAGGCCCUGCUUUUGUGGGGUGCUCGAGUGGCGAACGGGUGAGUAACACGUGAGUAACCCGCCCUUGACGUUGGGAUAACUUCAGGAAAGUGGGGCUAAUACCGGAUAGGAGCUCCUGCUGCAUGGUGGGGGUUGGAAAGUUUCGGCGGUUGGGGAUGGACUCGCGGCUUAUCAGCUUGUUGGUGGGGUAGUGGCUUACGAAGGCUUUGACGGGUAGCCGGACUGAGAGGGUGACCGGCCACAUUGGGACUGAGAUACGGCCCAGACUCCUACGGGAGGCAGCAGUGGGGAAUAUUGCACAAUGGGCGGAAGCCUGGUGCAGCAACGCCGCGUGCGGGAUGACGGCCUUCGGGUUGUAAACCGCUUUCGCCUGUGACGAAGCGUGAGUGACGGUAAUGGGUAAAGAAGCACCGGCUAACUACGUG
Molecule: ribosomal RNA, 468 nt
Filed under: uncultured bacterium
Lineage: Bacteria
Description: partial 16S ribosomal RNA
Rfam family: Bacterial small subunit ribosomal RNA
Source: RNAcentral